CAGCAGUAGGGAAUCUUAGACAAUGGGGGCAACCCUGAUCUAGCCAUGCCGCGUGUGUGAUGAAGGCCCUAGGGUCGUAAAGCACUUUCGCCAGAGAUGAUAAUGACGAGUAUCUGGUAAAGAAAACCCCGGCCUAACUCCGUGCCAGCAGCCGCGGUAAUACGGAGGGGGUUAGCGUUGUUCGGAAUUACUGGGCGUAAAGCGCACGUAGGCGGAUUAGUAAGUUAGAGGUGAAAUCCCAGGGCUCAACCCUGGAACUGCCUUUAAUACUGCUAGUCUUGAGUUCGAGAGAGGUAAGUGGAAUUCCGAGUGUAGAGGUGAAAUUCGUAGAUAUUCGGAGGAACACCAGUGGCGAAGGCGGCUUACUGGCUCGAUACUGGCGCUGAGGUGCGAAAGUGUGGGAGC
RNAcentral lists this ribosomal RNA (405 nucleotides) under uncultured Alphaproteobacteria bacterium. Its description in RNAcentral is "bacterial SSU rRNA". It matches the Rfam family "Bacterial small subunit ribosomal RNA", at positions 349 to 769 of the family's 1533-position model. Lineage: Bacteria; Pseudomonadati; Pseudomonadota; Alphaproteobacteria. The record is from RNAcentral.